This is a long non-coding RNA of Limanda limanda (common dab), 536 nucleotides long. RefSeq lists it as uncharacterized. The record is from RefSeq and is a predicted model, not a curated record. The transcript is spliced from 4 exons. Lineage: Eukaryota; Metazoa; Chordata; Actinopteri; Pleuronectiformes; Pleuronectidae.
UUAAUUUAUAUUUAAAAAAUUAUACGUGGAAUACGACCCAGUAUCUCCAAUGGGGAUAUUGUGGAAACUAGAGAGAUGUUUUUGAAAUACGCGUGCAACAGCUAUUACAAAUAUGUGGGUCCAGAGACAGUGGUGUAUCAUUCAAACGGCACAUGGUCAGAUCUGCCCAGCUGCAAAGCUACCUUCUGUUCUGUGGACACUCGUGAAUAUCCUAAAUUACAUCCUGAUGGAGUGAAAUAUGUGAAAGAUGGUGAGAAUGUGUCAAUGGCAUGUGUGGACGACUGGAGGACAGAUCAUUUUUCUGUGGUCCGCUGCACUGAAGGAAUAAUUAGGUUAAGUAAAUGUUGUAGCUGGAUCUCAAUUAAGUUGAACGCUUGCUCAGACACUUUGAUGAAGAGGAGGAUGUUCACUGACUGAAAACAGAUGCCAGCCUGGAAAACUGAAGUUAUGCCUGUGAUGAUACAUAUUUUGUAACAUUAUAUCAUGUCGGCUUUUUCUAAAGCCAAUUUCAGGCUUCUCAUAAAUUCCUACAACAA